GUCCAAAUGAGGUUUAGGUGAAACUCCUUGAGCCCACUCGUGACAACCUACUAAAUGAAUUAGGUUGUUUUAGAAAGGCGAAUGAAGCUUCUUUAAAAACAUAUGAUUGAGGAUUAUUUAAAUUUUUCAUCUAUGUUGACCUGUGGAUUAAUAGGAGAUAUGAAUGUUCGAAUGAGUUUUAAGCGACACUAAAAUAUUAUUCUAAAAGAAGCUGAAAUUUCCCAGUACAAUAUGCACUGAACUUCAUCACUAUAUAACAAUGUUGUAAGUCACAUUUAAACUCUUUUGUACAAGAACUCUAGUGAAAUCUUUCAUGUUUGAAUUAUUGCCCAUGAUGAAAACCUCAACCUACAAUACCAGAGAAUCCAAAUAUAUCCUAAACCACUUGAGCAGCCAGCAGCAUAUACAAAAGCUAUUGUCCUGAAUGUGUUUGAUCCAAUCUGCAGUGACAACAUCAACAAUGAGUCAAUUUACAUUCAACUAUCAUCAACCUAAGUAAGGCAGAAAAUUUUAUAUAUUAUUUCUAAAAUAAACAUCAAUUAGCCCCAUGGUAGAAAAGCCACACCUACUUCAUCCUACAACGACAGGAGAAACGAUGAAGAUAGAAGACCAUAAUUCCUAUUGUACUAUUUCCAAGAAAAAACAUUCGCAUACAAGCA
RNAcentral lists this long non-coding RNA (659 nucleotides) under Capsicum annuum. Its description in RNAcentral is "long non-coding RNA (CANN_LNC012258)". The record is from RNAcentral. Lineage: Eukaryota; Viridiplantae; Streptophyta; Magnoliopsida; Solanales; Solanaceae.